UGAUCUACAAAGCUGCUUUACACUAAAGGUUAAAUUACAAGACUUGGUUAAAGGAGAGUUUAUCUUUCAAUAAAUUUUGUCUCAAUGUCGAUAACAAUCCUUUGGCAAAGUAGGGUGAGUGAGAACUGGGCCAGAGCAUGAUAAGCCACCUCCUAAAGCUAGUGGAUCAGAUGGGAAAGCUCAUCCUCGAUGUUGAUUAGUCACUAGGCCUU
Molecule: long non-coding RNA, 212 nt
Filed under: Lathyrus oleraceus (garden pea)
Lineage: Eukaryota; Viridiplantae; Streptophyta; Magnoliopsida; Fabales; Fabaceae
Description: Pisum sativum (pea) long non-coding RNA (PSAT_LNC034947)
Source: RNAcentral